Molecule: ribosomal RNA, 404 nt
Filed under: Haemaphysalis aciculifer
Lineage: Eukaryota; Metazoa; Arthropoda; Arachnida; Ixodida; Ixodidae
Description: partial 16S ribosomal RNA
Source: RNAcentral
GGAUUUUAAAAGUUGAACAAACUUCUUAUUUUAACUUCUUCAUUAAAAAAGUAUCCUAAUCCAACAUCGAGGUCGCAAACUAUUUUUUCUAUAAGAUCUAUCUAAAAUUAUUACGCUGUUAUCCCUAGAGUAUUUAUUUCAUAAAAUCAUUAUUAAUGGAUCAAAUUUAAGAGUAAAAAGUUAAUUAUUUUUUUUAAUCGCCCCAAUUAAAUAUUUUUUAUUAAAAAAAUUUUAAAUAAAAGAUAUAAAAAUUCAUAGGGUCUUCUUGUCUUUAAUUUUUAUUAUUGUUUCUUCACAAAUAAAAAUAACUUAAAUUUUUAAAUUUAAAAAAGAUUUUUCUUGAAAAUCCAUUCUCUUAGCACUCAAUUAAAAUCUUAUUACAAUACCUUUGUAUAGUCAAAAUA